This 514-nucleotide long non-coding RNA is filed under the name Mytilus galloprovincialis (Mediterranean mussel). Lineage: Eukaryota; Metazoa; Mollusca; Bivalvia; Mytilida; Mytilidae. The record is from RNAcentral.
AUCGGUUUUUUCUAAACUCGAAAUUUCGACUUCUUUUUAACUCAAAAUUUCGACUUGUUUUGAACUCAAAAUUUCGACAUGUUUUGAACUCAAAAUUUCGAAUUUUCCUAAGUAUUUAUACGUAUACGUUUGCGAUUACCGCAUUCACAGUCAUUUAUAUCAGCAAGCGGAGAGCCAUAUACAUCAUAAACUUAAUAAGCACAUUUUAAUAAACUAAACCAUUUUAAAGAGGUUAUUUUAGAUAGAAAAUCUUGUUCUUGCCGAAGAAUAAAUAAAACAUGUUUCACGUUCAAAUACAUAUUUCAAGUCUGGACUUCAGAUAUGUGUAUCAAGACAACCCCGUUAUUCCGAUACACCCAUGUUAAUUACGACAUACUUUUAUUCAACAGUCUGAUAUAUAAAGACAAUGGUUAAUAGUUGUGUAAUAAGAAUGUCAACUUGUAGAGUUGAAUCAACAUUCCAGAAAAAAGAACCAUUUAUUUAUUUCAAAAUUCCAAAACUAGAAAACCGAGCA